AUGAAGAUUAUGGAUACUAGGACAGAUAAGGAUGUUAUCAUCAAGACUGAAGCUGAGAAUUUAGUUGUUUUUACUAAUGUCUGUGCCCCUAUUUGUGACAAUCCUGAUUUUUUUUUCAUGCCUUUUUUUGCUGACCUGAGUGACAUGGAACAUUCCUCCCUUGUUAUUGCUGGUGACAUUAAUGAUGUAUGUUAUCCUGUUUUGAACAGAAAUGCAUACUGUGAAGAGCAAUGCCUGAACUGAUGCUAUCCCAGACAGAAAAAUAUGACUUCAAACCUAAUGGGAUUCUCCUCAGACCAGUACGUGCUGGGAGCAUGAAGGAGGUAAUGCUUUCCGCAUCAAAGAAAAGAAUGCAUAUAAUCCUCCCUGGAGGUUGU
Molecule: long non-coding RNA, 377 nt
Filed under: Chrysemys picta bellii (western painted turtle)
Lineage: Eukaryota; Metazoa; Chordata; Testudines; Emydidae
Description: lncRNA (ENSCPBG00000007867.1)
Source: RNAcentral